This 692-nucleotide ribosomal RNA is filed under the name Escherichia coli. RNAcentral describes it as "partial 23S ribosomal RNA". It matches the Rfam family "Bacterial large subunit ribosomal RNA", at positions 2230 to 2915 of the family's 2925-position model. The record is from RNAcentral. Lineage: Bacteria; Pseudomonadati; Pseudomonadota; Gammaproteobacteria; Enterobacterales; Enterobacteriaceae.
GGCCCCUUAUCGGGGUUGCGGACAGUGUCUGGUGGGUAGUUUGACUGGGGCGGUCUCCUCCUAAAGAGUAACGGAGGAGCACGAAGGUUGGCUAAUCCUGGUCGGACAUCAGGAGGUUAGUGCAAUGGCAUAAGCCAGCUUGACUGCGAGCGUGACGGCGCGAGCAGGUGCGAAAGCAGGUCAUAGUGAUCCGGUGGUUCUGAAUGGAAGGGCCAUCGCUCAACGGAUAAAAGGUACUCCGGGGAUAACAGGCUGAUACCGCCCAAGAGUUCAUAUCGACGGCGGUGUUUGGCACCUCGAUGUCGGCUCAUCACAUCCUGGGGCUGAAGUAGGUCCCAAGGGUAUGGCUGUUCGCCAUUUAAAGUGGUACGCGAGCUGGGUUUAGAACGUCGUGAGACAGUUCGGUCCCUAUCUGCCGUGGGCGCUGGAGAACUGAGGGGGGCUGCUCCUAGUACGAGAGGACCGGAGUGGACGCAUCACUGGUGUUCGGGUUGUCAUGCCAAUGGCACUGCCCGGUAGCUAAAUGCGGAAGAGAUAAGUGCUGAAAGCAUCUAAGCACGAAACUUGCCCCGAGAUGAGUUCUCCCUGACCCUUUAAGGGUCCUGAAGGAACGUUGAAGACGACGACGUUGAUAGGCCGGGUGUGUAAGCGCAGCGAUGCGUUGAGCUAACCGGUACUAAUGAACCGUGAGG